AACAAGCAUAGUACGUCAUUUUGUUUAGCAACGGCUUUUAUGAUGAAUGUUCAGUGGAGAACCUUCGGGGAAAAUAUACAAUAUGCAUAUCCAGUGAGAGCUCCUUCCUUUUUAACAGUUACGCAGACGUGGGAAAUUUCAGCAGACAUGGUUUUCUCUCCUCCUGCUUGGCAAAGUGCGCCUGUCCAAAUGCCUUCUGCUGUCCAGCUGUUUGAGGCCCAGGAUCUUUGCUGUCUUCCUUUGCACCUGGCCACUUUAGAGAGCAAGAGGAGCAGAAAGGAAAACCUCAGGGGUAAAAAGUAAACGUUGCAGUGAAGAGAGGGAGACAUUGGAGGUUGUUAUUUGUUUUCAAUCUGUGAUGUUUUAAUAGCUAUCGGUAAGCCAUCUUGAGCCAAGAGAAAAGAUGCGCUGGCUCCCUCCCUCCGAGGCUACUUCUCAGGGCUGGAAGUCCCGUCAGUUCUGCUGAAUACUGUAUACCAGGUGUGUGAUGGCGGCUACAAUCUGUCUUGUGGGUAUUAAAGUGUUCUUCCUAAGUCGCUAUCAGUAUCUUACCUUCAUCUGCGAAAAUACAGUGUGGUGGGUAAGUUGACACACUGUUUUGAACAUCUUUCCUGUUUCCGGCAAGCCAAAGAUUCUUAUUAGCUAAACAACGUGACCAAGGGUUUGGGCCUUGUUUUUUAUCUUAAUCAUUGCUUUGAGCCAAGAGAUGCGCUCUUUGCAUGUGCCUUCUUUGACUAAAACCAAGCUGACAGUACUAAUCAGAAACACCUUGUGCUGGGAAACAGGGCCAGGGACCAUGAGCUUGCUGCUGUCAAGUUAAUAUAGAUUUGACUUCCGAAGCUGAAUUAUAGCCCUGCCACUUUUCCUAUAGAAGGCUGGCCUUUGGAUUUAGCUACAUUCACAUUUUAUUCUGGGUACGUUAUGAGCUGAAGCUGUGUGAACUAGCAAGCUGCUCGGGUCUGAUACUUUUAGCCACUUGUAUAAGAAGACUAAUGAUGUAAGAAUGCUUAUGUCACUGCCAGGGUAUAUAUUCAAGAAACACACUAAGAAGCCAGAGUAUACAGCAGUGAUGGCGAACCUUUUUGAGACCGAGUGCCCAAAU
Sphaerodactylus townsendi is the source of this 1102-nucleotide long non-coding RNA. RefSeq lists it as uncharacterized. Lineage: Eukaryota; Metazoa; Chordata; Lepidosauria; Squamata; Sphaerodactylidae. The transcript has 3 exons. The record is from RefSeq and is a predicted model, not a curated record.